This 553-nucleotide ribosomal RNA is filed under the name uncultured fungus. Its description in RNAcentral is "eukaryotic LSU rRNA". The stretch from base 171 to 325 matches the Rfam family "5.8S ribosomal RNA". The record is from RNAcentral. Lineage: Eukaryota; Fungi.
AAGGAUNNUUAUUGNAAAUAAAGGGUUGUNUGCUGGCCUCUCNGGGGCGCGUGCACGCCCAAAUCCACAACACACCUGUGAACCCACCGUAGGCCCCCUCGGGCUUAUGUAUUAUCAUAUACUCUGAUCAUAGAAUGUAAACAUUUUGCCUUAAAAACGCAAUGAAAUACAACUUUCAACAACGGAUCUCUUGGCUCUCGCAUCGAUGAAGAACGCAGCGAAAUGCGAUAAGUAAUGUGAAUUGCAGAUUUUCAGUGAAUCAUCGAAUCUUUGAACGCACCUUGCGCUCCUUGGUAUUCCGAGGAGCAUGCCUGUUUGAGUGUCAUUAAAUUCUCAACCCCAGCGGUUCGUUGGGGCUUGGACUUGGAGCGUGCUGGCGAAGGUCGGCUCCUCUUUAAAUGCAUCAGCGGAAAACGGAACUUUCCCUUCGGCGUGAUAAUGUCGUUGCGUCGUGGUGGGUCGGUUAAAGAGUCCCGCUUACAAUCGUCCUCGGACAAAAAUAAAAAACAUCUGUUUUGACCUCAGAUCAGGUAGGACUACCCGCUGAACUUAA